This 302-nucleotide ribosomal RNA is filed under the name uncultured bacterium. RNAcentral describes it as "partial 16S ribosomal RNA". It matches the Rfam family "Bacterial small subunit ribosomal RNA", at positions 508 to 809 of the family's 1533-position model. The record is from RNAcentral.
GCAGCCGCCGCGGUAAUACGUAGGUGGCGAGCGUUGUCCGGGAUUAUUGGGCGUAAAGGGAGCGCAGGCGGACAUAUAAGUCCAUCUUAAAAGUGCGGGGCUCAACCCCGUGAGGGGAUGGAAACUGUAUGCCUUGAGUGCAGGAGAGGAAAGCGGAAUUCCCAGUGUAGCGGUGAAAUGCGUAGAUAUUGGGAGGAACACCAGUGGCGAAGGCGGCUUUCUGGACUGCAACUGACGCUGAGGCUCGAAAGCCAGGGGAGCGAACAGGAUUAGAGACCCCAGUAGUCCCUGUCUCUUAUACA